This 253-nucleotide ribosomal RNA is filed under the name uncultured bacterium. Its description in RNAcentral is "partial 16S ribosomal RNA". It matches the Rfam family "Bacterial small subunit ribosomal RNA", at positions 524 to 776 of the family's 1533-position model. The record is from RNAcentral.
UACGUAGGGACCGAGCGUUGUCCGGAAUCAUUGGGCGUAAAGAGCGUGUAGGCGGCUAUUUAAGUCCUGCGUGAAAUCCUGCGGCUCAACCGCAGACGGUCGUGGGAAACUGGAUGGCUAGAGUGCGGGAGAGGAGAGUGGAAUUCCCGGUGUAGCGGUGAAAUGCGCAGAUAUCAGGAAGAACACCCGUGGCUAAGGCGGCUCUCUAGUACGGUACUGACGCUGAGACGCGAAAGCGUGGGGAGCGAACAGG